GGUGGCUCAGUGGUAAAGCAUUUGCCUUGCAUGCAUGAGGCCCUGGGUUCGAUUCCUCAGCACCA
Molecule: non-coding RNA, 65 nt
Organism: Dipodomys ordii (Ord's kangaroo rat)
Lineage: Eukaryota; Metazoa; Chordata; Mammalia; Rodentia; Heteromyidae
Source: Rfam